GAUGAACGCUGGCGGCGUGCCUAAUACAUGCAAGUCGAGCGAACAGACGAGGAGCUUGCUCCUCUGACGUUAGCGGCGGACGGGUGAGUAACACGUGGAUAACCUACCUAUAAGACUGGGAUAACUUCGGGAAACCGGAGCUAAUACCGGAUAAUAUAUUGAACCGCAUGGUUCAAUAGUGAAAGACGGUUUUGCUGUCACUUAUAGAUGGAUCCGCGCCGCAUUAGCUAGUUGGUAAGGUAACGGCUUACCACGGCAACGAUGCGUAGCCGACCUGAGAGGGUGAUCGGCCAGACUGGAACUGAGACACGGUCCAGACUCCUACGGGAGGCAGCAGUAGGGAAUCUUCCGCAAUGGGCGAAAGCCUGACAUAGCAACGCCGCGUGAAUGAUGAAGGUCUUCGGAUCGUAAAACUCUGUUAUUAGGGAAGAACAAAUGUGUAAGUAACUAUGCACGUCUUGACGGUACCUAAGCAGAAAGCCACGGCUAACUACGUG
RNAcentral lists this ribosomal RNA (497 nucleotides) under uncultured bacterium. RNAcentral describes it as "partial 16S ribosomal RNA". It matches the Rfam family "Bacterial small subunit ribosomal RNA", at positions 28 to 507 of the family's 1533-position model. The record is from RNAcentral.